GGGGUUGUAGCUCAACCGGAAGAGCACCCGGCUUGCACCCGGAAGAUCGGGGUUCGAUUCCCCGCGACUCCA
This 72-nucleotide transfer RNA is filed under the name Algisphaera agarilytica. It matches the Rfam family "tRNA". From Rfam's summary of the family: Transfer RNA (tRNA) molecules are approximately 80 nucleotides in length. Lineage: Bacteria; Pseudomonadati; Planctomycetota; Phycisphaerae; Phycisphaerales; Phycisphaeraceae. The record is from Rfam by way of RNAcentral.